UACAGAGGGUGCGAGCGUUAAUCGGAAUUACUGGGCGUAAAGCGCGCGUAGGCGGCUUUGCAAGUCGGGUGUGAAAUCCCCAGGCUUAACCUGGGAACUGCAUUCGAGACUGCAUUGCUAGAGUAUGGGAGAGGGAAGUGGAAUUUCCGGUGUAGCGGUGAAAUGCGUAGAUAUUCGGAAGAACACCAGUGGCGAAGGCGGCUCACUGGACUGGUAUUGACGCUGAGGUGCGAAAGCGUGGGGAGCAAACAGG
Molecule: ribosomal RNA, 253 nt
Filed under: uncultured bacterium
Lineage: Bacteria
Description: partial 16S ribosomal RNA
Rfam family: Bacterial small subunit ribosomal RNA
Source: RNAcentral